RNAcentral lists this ribosomal RNA (107 nucleotides) under Mesomycoplasma neurolyticum. Lineage: Bacteria; Bacillati; Mycoplasmatota; Mycoplasmoidales; Metamycoplasmataceae. The record is from RNAcentral.
UACCAAUUAAAGCAAAGGGGAGCACCUGAUACCAUUCCGAACUCAGUAGUUAAGCCCUUUUACGCCGACGAUACCUGAAAUAUGGGAAAAUAGGGAGUUGGUAGUUU